UACGGAGGAUGCAAGCGUUAUCCGGAAUGAUUGGGCGUAAAGCGUCCGCAGGUGGCUGUGUAAGUCUGCUGUUAAAGAGUGAGGCUCAACCUCAUAAAGGCAGUGGAAACUACAUGGCUAGAGUGCGCUCGGGGCAGAGGGAAUUCCUGGUGUAGCGGUGAAAUGCGUAGAGAUCAGGAAGAACACCGGUGGCGAAAGCGCUCUGCUAGGCCGCAACUGACACUGAGGGACGAAAGCUAGGGGAGCGAAUGGG
RNAcentral lists this ribosomal RNA (253 nucleotides) under uncultured bacterium. RNAcentral's name for it is "partial 16S ribosomal RNA". It matches the Rfam family "Bacterial small subunit ribosomal RNA", at positions 524 to 776 of the family's 1533-position model. The record is from RNAcentral.